Molecule: long non-coding RNA, 448 nt
Filed under: Drosophila guanche
Lineage: Eukaryota; Metazoa; Arthropoda; Insecta; Diptera; Drosophilidae
Source: RNAcentral
UCCAAACUCAGAGAAAAUUAAUACAGAAAUGAAUGCUGAGCAAGCAGUCUAGAAGAUAGCAAAUGUGCGGUAUUUGUGUGUGUAUUUCCCUGCAGAAUGCGGAACUCAUUAGUGUUUUAGUUUAUAUUCUGGAUCUCUUGAACUCAGUUAAUGUUAUAAUAACUGACGGCUUUUCUUGCAUCAACUUAAUUCCGUACUUCCCUGCAGCAUCCUUUGAGGCACUUUCAUACGGAGACACAGCUUCAACAGCUCUCAUUGCCUGCGCAUCAAACAUUUUCCAGUUGCUAAAUGCUUUUGGCUUUUGGCGAUUUUAAUUAGCUGCAGCGAUUUACGGUAGUUGCAAGUAUCACGUGUAUUUUUGCUCGCACAUCGUGUGCAAAUUGUGGCCAAAAUAUGUGUGUCUGUGUCUGUGUCUGUGUCGUCGAGCACUUUGACGAGUCAAUGAGUU